RNAcentral lists this unclassified non-coding RNA (242 nucleotides) under Glomus sp. RNAcentral's name for it is "partial contains 5.8S ribosomal RNA and internal transcribed spacer 2". The stretch from base 1 to 70 matches the Rfam family "5.8S ribosomal RNA", at positions 84 to 154 of the family's 154-position model. The record is from RNAcentral. Lineage: Eukaryota; Fungi; Glomeromycota; Glomeromycetes; Glomerales; Glomeraceae.
GUGAAUCAUCAAAUCUUUGAACGCAAAUUGCACUUUCUGGUAUUCCGGAAAGUAUGCCUGUUGAGGGUCAGGUAAAUAAAAAUCGGGGUUGUUGCUGCGUUGCGUGGUGACGCGUCGGAAUUGAGUUGUCUUACCUUCGGGUAAGUGACUUAAAAUUUUUCAUGAUUUUCGAACGGAUUUAAAUUUCUUACGUACGUUUGAGAUUGCGAAUACUUUAUUUGGUUCGGUCAUCCUCAUUAAUC